This 73-nucleotide transfer RNA is filed under the name Nostoc minutum NIES-26. It matches the Rfam family "tRNA". From Rfam's summary of the family: Transfer RNA (tRNA) molecules are approximately 80 nucleotides in length. Their secondary structure includes four short double-helical elements and three loops (D, anti-codon, and T loops). Further hydrogen bonds mediate the characteristic L-shaped molecular structure. tRNAs have two regions of fundamental functional importance: the anti-codon, which is responsible for specific mRNA codon recognition, and the 3' end, to which the tRNAs corresponding amino acid is attached (by aminoacyl-tRNA synthetases). tRNAs cope with the degeneracy of the genetic code in two manners: having more than one tRNA (with a specific anti-codon) for a particular amino acid; and 'wobble' base-pairing, i.e. permitting non-standard base-pairing at the 3rd anti-codon position. Lineage: Bacteria; Bacillati; Cyanobacteriota; Cyanophyceae; Nostocales; Nostocaceae. The record is from Rfam by way of RNAcentral.
AGUCCUGUAGCUUCAACGGUAGAGCAAUUGCCCUACAAGCAAAGGGUUGCAGGUUCGAUUCCUGCCAAGACUA